UGUAAGCGUAUACCAAAGUUGUUGCAGUUAAAACGCUCGUAGUCGGAAUUUGGCAGUUCCGGAAGUGUGCACGUCGUGUGCGCACUUUGCGGGGACUGCUUUUGUGGUCUUGCGUAGGAUGAGGCACUUUCAUUAGUGAACGUCCUCACGCAACCACUCUUUACUGUGAGAAAAUCAGAGUGCUCAAAGCAGGCAUUUGCCGUGAAUGUAUUAGCAUGGAAUAAUAGAAUAGGACUCGGUUCUAUUUUGUUGGUUUGUUGGGACUGAGUAAUGAUUAAGAGGGACAGUUGGGGGCAUUUGUAUUCCGGCGCUAGAGGUGAAGUUCUUAGAUUGCCGGAAGACAAACUGCUGCGAAAGCGUCUACCAAGGAUGUUUUCAUUGA
RNAcentral lists this ribosomal RNA (382 nucleotides) under uncultured eukaryote. RNAcentral's name for it is "partial 18S ribosomal RNA". It matches the Rfam family "Eukaryotic small subunit ribosomal RNA", at positions 592 to 976 of the family's 1831-position model. The record is from RNAcentral.